GUAAAAGUCGUAACAAGGUCUCCGUUGGUGAACCAGCGGAGGGAUCAUUACCGAGUUAUACAACUCCCAAACCCACUGUGAACCUUACCUCAGUUGCCUCGGCGGGAACGCCCCGGCCGCCUGCCCCCGCGCCGGCGCCGGACCCAGGCGCCCGCCGCAGGGACCCCAAACUCUCUUGCAUUACGCCCAGCGGGCGGAAUUUCUUCUCUGAGUUGCACAAGCAAAAACAAAUGAAUCAAAACUUUCAACAACGGAUCUCUUGGUUCUGGCAUCGAUGAAGAACGCAGCGAAAUGCGAUAAGUAAUGUGAAUUGCAGAAUUCAGUGAAUCAUCGAAUCUUUGAACGCACAUUGCGCCCGCCAGCAUUCUGGCGGGCAUGCCUGUUCGAGCGUCAUUUCAACCCUCGAGCCCCCCCCGGGGGCCUCGGUGUUGGGGGACGGCACACCAGCCGCCCCCGAAAUGCAGUGGCGACCCCGCCGCAGCCUCCCCUGCGUAGUAGCACACACCUCGCACCGGAGCGCGGAGGCGGUCACGCCGUAAAACGCCCAACUUUCUUAGAGUUGACCUCGGAUCAGGUAGGAAUACCCGC
This 588-nucleotide ribosomal RNA is filed under the name Purpureocillium lilacinum. RNAcentral describes it as "eukaryotic LSU rRNA". The stretch from base 240 to 393 matches the Rfam family "5.8S ribosomal RNA". The record is from RNAcentral. Lineage: Eukaryota; Fungi; Ascomycota; Sordariomycetes; Hypocreales; Ophiocordycipitaceae.